GAGGGCAUAGCUCAGUGGUAGAACACAUGCUCAGCAUGCACGAGGUCUGGGUUCAAUCCCUAGUACCUCCA
RNAcentral lists this transfer RNA (71 nucleotides) under Camelus bactrianus (Bactrian camel). It matches the Rfam family "tRNA". From Rfam's summary of the family: Transfer RNA (tRNA) molecules are approximately 80 nucleotides in length. Their secondary structure includes four short double-helical elements and three loops (D, anti-codon, and T loops). Further hydrogen bonds mediate the characteristic L-shaped molecular structure. tRNAs have two regions of fundamental functional importance: the anti-codon, which is responsible for specific mRNA codon recognition, and the 3' end, to which the tRNAs corresponding amino acid is attached (by aminoacyl-tRNA synthetases). tRNAs cope with the degeneracy of the genetic code in two manners: having more than one tRNA (with a specific anti-codon) for a particular amino acid; and 'wobble' base-pairing, i.e. permitting non-standard base-pairing at the 3rd anti-codon position. Lineage: Eukaryota; Metazoa; Chordata; Mammalia; Artiodactyla; Camelidae. RNAcentral also lists the same sequence under 2 other names. The record is from Rfam by way of RNAcentral.